GGAAGUGUGUCAGAGCGGCCGAAUGUGCGACACUCGAAAUGUCGUGUGGGGCAACCCACCGGGGGUUCAAAUCCCUCCACUUCCG
RNAcentral lists this transfer RNA (85 nucleotides) under Microbacteriaceae bacterium. RNAcentral describes it as "tRNA-Ser". It matches the Rfam family "tRNA". Rfam says of the family: Transfer RNA (tRNA) molecules are approximately 80 nucleotides in length. Their secondary structure includes four short double-helical elements and three loops (D, anti-codon, and T loops). The record is from RNAcentral. RNAcentral also lists the same sequence under 1 other name. Lineage: Bacteria; Bacillati; Actinomycetota; Actinomycetes; Micrococcales; Microbacteriaceae.